ACGAACCCAAGUCCCCAAUUAUGUGAAUUUGUAAAAUUACCAUCAAUUAUUGAUUCUCGACAUUGUUUUAUGAAGAUCGAUAUUCUGUUAUUUUAAUCAAUUUUUGUUAGUUUCACCAUUAAAAUGUCUUGUGAAGGCCAAUAUAAAUAAAAUGUCAAUGACUUUUUCGUUUGAUAAAGCACGUAUUUACAUAAGGUCGCAUUUGCUCAAAUUCGUCGUGGGUGAGGAAUCGACACUUCAGUAGAAAACUCUAAUCAUCAACCAAGAAAUUCAAAAUCUUUCAUCAAUUAAUUCGGUGGAGAAUCAAGGAGAAGUUGUUGUUCAUUGCUGUUUUGGUUACUAUUGUUGUUGACUUUUUUUUACUCUGCUUUUUGAUUGUUGAUUUUGGGACUGUGCUAUAGCUACAUUACGGUUCACACCUUUGUUCACAACCCCCUCACAUCGGGGGCCCGCACACAUUAAAAAAAAUAGAGGUGGGGCCCCCUCAUUGUGAGGGGGUUGUGAACGCUUCUGUACAGCCCGAGCUGUACAAGCAGCUUAGUCCUUUUGAUUAUCGGCGUCAUAGACUUUUUUUUGCUUCUUUUCUUACUUCUUGUUGAUUGCUGUGCAUUGAUUGUUCUAAAAUUGAUUGUUUUGGUUGCUUGGGUGAAGGUCUCUUUUGUUGGGGUUUUGUUAGCUUGUAAAUUGCUAGCGUUCAUUGGAUUUACUGCGGAAGGAUGUUUUUCGCAAUAUUUUAUAGAUUAGAAUUGAAUUUUGUAAAGAUUAUAAGGUUAAGGUUGAUUUUUGCAAAGUUU
This 794-nucleotide long non-coding RNA is filed under the name Olea europaea (common olive). Its description in RNAcentral is "long non-coding RNA (OEUR_LNC008391)". The record is from RNAcentral. Lineage: Eukaryota; Viridiplantae; Streptophyta; Magnoliopsida; Lamiales; Oleaceae.